Molecule: long non-coding RNA, 234 nt
Organism: Haliotis rufescens (red abalone)
Lineage: Eukaryota; Metazoa; Mollusca; Gastropoda; Lepetellida; Haliotidae
Exons: 3
Source: RefSeq, a predicted model, not a curated record
AUGACGAGCAGUCGAGGAUCUACUUUCACUUGCUGAUGAAAAUGGUGAUUCGAACGUGAGUGUGGAAGAGUUCUCGAGGAGCAUCCAUGACUUCAUGGCCAUAGAUUCAGACCCACUGUUGCAAAAACAACUUGCAGAAGAGUUUGCUGAUGCAUUUGAGGAUGAUGCGGAAUAAAGCGCCCGAUCAACAUCUUUAUGAAAUGAUUUCAAUAAAAAGAUUCUUGCAAACGUAAA